Molecule: long non-coding RNA, 485 nt
Organism: Hevea brasiliensis (rubber tree)
Lineage: Eukaryota; Viridiplantae; Streptophyta; Magnoliopsida; Malpighiales; Euphorbiaceae
Exons: 3
Source: RefSeq, a predicted model, not a curated record
CUUUAUAUAUGCGACAUUUUAUCCUCAUAAAACUUGGCUUCUCAUCUCCUUUAUGAUCUCCUCCUUCAUUUCCACUUUCUAUUUCUCUGUGACCAGAUCGAGUUUUGAAGGAUGAGUAAUCAUGAUCAAAACCAUGCUCAAGUACCAUAUCCUUCAAGUUCUCCAAAUCCUUAUGUGGCUCCACCACCAGCAAAUUAUGCUGUGAAAAAUGGUAAUUCUGCUCCUUCUCCUACAAUUCAGACUACGUCCAAGGGUGGUGGGUUUUGGAGGGGAUUUUGUGCCGGCCUGUGUUGCCACUGUUGUUUGGAUGCUUGCUUUUGAGGGUUAAAUAAAUAUACUAUCAUAAUUCCAGAGGCUUGAGUUCCUGCUCUUGUGUGUAUAUAUAUAUAUAGAGUCAUGUAUACAUGUACCAUAAAAUAAAUAAACUUUGAUUCCUCAAAUUAGUAUUCAAAAUACUUUUUUUGUCCAUUUAUAUCUGUUGCAUU